Molecule: long non-coding RNA, 832 nt
Organism: Eurytemora carolleeae
Lineage: Eukaryota; Metazoa; Arthropoda; Copepoda; Calanoida; Temoridae
Exons: 3
Source: RefSeq, a predicted model, not a curated record
UUCAGGAAUCUGAAGUGUCAUCUUUUUUCAAACCAAGUUCUGCGCCAAUAACGUCUAAAAGAUUGAUAGAAGAAAUUAAACCGACGAGAAAAUUAGCAAAAAGAAAUGAGUUUGGGUCCAACCUUCAGAAAGCCUUCAAGCCGACCGGAAACUCUGAACCUGGAUCUAAUAUUCCGGAAAUAAAAAUCCGGAUUCAUCCGGAGGAAAGUUAUCUUACUCCGGUACAAACCAGAAAACUUUAAACAAAACAAAAAACAAAAAAGUGUUCAGAUGAACUAAUUACUCUCCUCAUACUCCUAAUAUUCUAAUCCUAUAUCCAUUGCAUAAAACCGGGAUCCCAUAUGUUUACAACCGAACUUUUGAUUUUUCAAACUAUCAACUUUUAUAUACUUGAUCAAAAGUAAAAUUUUUUCAUAUUAAAGGUUUACCCCAUCUGGUUGCAAAGAUGUGGAUAUGAGAAACAUUUCUUUUUCACCUGAUGUUGAACAUUUCAUCACAUGAAUCUUAAAGAUUUACACCAUUAGGUUACAAAAAUCAAGGGAUUACCAAAUUAGAGUAUUGAAAAGAGUAAUUACUGAUAAGUUUAUUUCUUUCCGAGCAAAUAAACAACUAAGUUAAGUAAAAAAUGUAUUUUUUUUACCUGAAAAAAAUUAUUUAUAACCUUAUUCUUUUUAAAGAUAACAGGCAAAAAGUGUGAAUGAACUGUUUUGCCCAUCAAAACUCAGAAAGUUGAUGAUUUCCAAUAAAAGAAUUAAUUCCGUUCCUGUAAACUGUAUUGUUAAUGAAAUGAUAAUAAUAAUAACAAUAAGAAUACUAUUCUAUAACCAACAAC